AUCGUGAGGCUGGAUUUCAGGAUUCAGUAUCACAUCAUGAGGCAAUGCUUCAGGAUUCAUCACUGCAUCGUGAGGAUGUGGUUCAGGUAUUCCCUCCUCAUUAGGCUCAGCUUCAGGACUCAUCUUCUCAUACUUAGGCUUGGCUUCAGGACUCAUCUUCUCAUACUUAGGCUGUACUUCAGAAGUCAUUUUCACCUCAUUAGGCUGUUCUUCAUAAGUGAUUUUUCCAUCAUGAGGUUGUGCUCCAUAAAUGGUGUUUCCUUCAUUAGGUUGAGGUUCCUGAG
This 284-nucleotide long non-coding RNA is filed under the name Citrus sinensis (sweet orange). RNAcentral's name for it is "long non-coding RNA (CSIN_LNC001601)". The record is from RNAcentral. Lineage: Eukaryota; Viridiplantae; Streptophyta; Magnoliopsida; Sapindales; Rutaceae.